GUUGAAACGCAUAAUAAUCCACUGACAUACUGUGCUUUAUUCUGAUACAGAAGAGCCUGUCAAACCUGGACUGACCAGCUCCUCAACCAACAAUCCUGCAGGGCAGCGACCCCUGGUCUGUCACGCAGUGAAGGCGUCAACAUAGACUUAAGCCAUCCGUUCUGCGACAAAAUAUGGGUGAUGAGAGAUAGGUGUCAUUUUGUUUCCCCCUCUUCUCUUAAUCCCUGGUUCUAUCACUUGUUGUGAGUCAUGCCAGGGUGCUGACUCUGUAUGCUGAUGGUGGAGAAAGAGUUCACGUUCAGUGGGAGGCUUUGGGAAAUCGCCUCUUUCUCUCAGUCCCACAG
Long non-coding RNA from Micropterus dolomieu (smallmouth bass), 344 nucleotides. RefSeq lists it as uncharacterized. Lineage: Eukaryota; Metazoa; Chordata; Actinopteri; Centrarchiformes; Centrarchidae. The transcript is spliced from 3 exons. The record is from RefSeq and is a predicted model, not a curated record.